RNAcentral lists this transfer RNA (69 nucleotides) under Ictidomys tridecemlineatus (thirteen-lined ground squirrel). Its description in RNAcentral is "Spermophilus tridecemlineatus (thirteen-lined ground squirrel) tRNA". It matches the Rfam family "tRNA". Rfam says of the family: Transfer RNA (tRNA) molecules are approximately 80 nucleotides in length. Lineage: Eukaryota; Metazoa; Chordata; Mammalia; Rodentia; Sciuridae. The record is from Rfam by way of RNAcentral.
GGGGUUGUAGCUCAGUGGUAGAGCACCCACCUCGGAUGUGUGAGGCACUGGGUUCAAUCCUCAGCACCA